This 253-nucleotide ribosomal RNA is filed under the name uncultured bacterium. Its description in RNAcentral is "partial 16S ribosomal RNA". It matches the Rfam family "Bacterial small subunit ribosomal RNA", at positions 524 to 776 of the family's 1533-position model. The record is from RNAcentral.
UACGUAGGGUGCAAGCGUUAAUCGGAAUUACUGGGCGUAAAGCGUGCGCAGGCGGCUUUGCAAGACAGAUGUGAAAUCCCCGGGCUUAACCUGGGAACUGCAUUUGUGACUGCAUGGCUAGAGUACGGUAGAGGGGGAUGGAAUUCCGCGUGUAGCAGUGAAAUGCGUAGAUAUGCGGAGGAACACCGAUGGCGAAGGCAGCCCCCUGGGUCAAGAUUGACGCUCAUGCACGAAAGCGUGGGGAGCAAACAGG